UACGUAGGAUGCAAGCGUUAUCCGGAAUCACUGGGCGUAAAGCGUCCGCAGGUGGACAAGCGAGUCAAAUGUAAAAUGCCGGUGCUCAACAUCGGCAUCGUAUUUGAUACUACUUGUCUAGAGGAUGGGAGAGGCUAGUGGAAUUCUCGGUGUAGGGGUAAAAUCCGUAGAUAUCGAGAGGAACACCAAAAGCGAAGGCAGCUAGCUGGAACAUUCCUGACACUCAUGGACGAAAGCGUGGGGAGCGAAAAGG
RNAcentral lists this ribosomal RNA (253 nucleotides) under uncultured bacterium. RNAcentral describes it as "partial 16S ribosomal RNA". It matches the Rfam family "Bacterial small subunit ribosomal RNA", at positions 524 to 776 of the family's 1533-position model. The record is from RNAcentral.